GGGGAAUAUUGCGCAAUGGGGGAAACCCUGACGCAGCAACGCCGCGUGAGCGAUGAAGGUCUUCGGAUUGUAAAGCUCUGUCUUUAGGGACGAUAAUGACGGUACCUAAGGAGGAAGCCACGGCUAACUACGUGCCAGCAGCCGCGGUAAUACGUAGGUGGCAAGCGUUGUCCGGAUUUACUGGGCGUAAAGAGUAUGUAGGCGGAUAUUUAAGUCAGAUGUGAAAUUCCCGGGCUUAACCUGGGCGCUGCAUUUGAUACUGGAUAUCUAGAGUGUGGGAGAGGAAAGCGGAAUUCCUAGUGUAGCGGUGAAAUGCGUAGAGAUUAGGAAGAACACCAGUGGCGAAGGCGGCUUUCUGGACCAUAACUGACGCUGAGAUACGAAAGCGUGGGGAGCAAAC
Molecule: ribosomal RNA, 400 nt
Filed under: uncultured bacterium
Lineage: Bacteria
Description: bacterial SSU rRNA
Rfam family: Bacterial small subunit ribosomal RNA
Source: RNAcentral